RNAcentral lists this ribosomal RNA (253 nucleotides) under uncultured bacterium. RNAcentral describes it as "partial 16S ribosomal RNA". It matches the Rfam family "Bacterial small subunit ribosomal RNA", at positions 524 to 776 of the family's 1533-position model. The record is from RNAcentral.
UACAGAGGUCCCGAGCGUUGUUCGGAUUUAUUGGGCGUAAAGGGUGCGUAGGCGGCGGAGUAAGUUGGGUGUGAAAUCCCGGGGCUUAACCUCGGAAUUGCAUUCAAUACUGCUUCGCUCGAGUACUGGAGAGGAGGCUGGAAUUCAUGGUGUAGCAGUGAAAUGCGUAGAUAUCAUGAGGAAUACCGAUGGCGAAGGCAGGUCUCUGGGCUGACACUGACGCUCAUGCACGAAAGCGUGGGGAGCAAACAGG